ACAGCUCCAAUUAGACCCCUAGCCUGGGAACCUCCACAUGCCACGGGUGUAGCCCUAAAAAGACAAAAAAUAAGAGAAAUGAAAUUAUUUCUUUAACUUGCACUCCAGAACCCAGACUAGAUUAAUGACACCAUAAAUAUCAGUGGGAUUAAUGGUAAUGCAAUAUUAAAAAUGCCACCACCAAGUAAGAGACGGAAGGACACCUCUAAGAUCUCUCUCAUAUGUUAUAGAAAAGUUAUAAGACACAGAAAUGUUUUGUAAGAAGCUUCCCAAGAACAGGUACCAUCUCAUGUAAUGUGGAGGAGGAGCUACGGAGUACAUUUGCACAUUUGGAAGACAUGAAGCAAUUAACAAACCUGGAGAUCAGUGCAUAUAUGAGGAUAUGUUGUGAGAUAUGGUUGGGGCAAAUUUAUGAAGUGUCUAGUAAUAGUCUAAGAGAUCUGAAGACUAACUGUUAAACAAGGAGCUAUGGAAAUCUCCAAAGGGGGUGGGGGAGAAGUUUCUUUGUAUUGUACUAGUGAAAUUUUUUUUUCUUUUUCUUUUUUGGCUUCUAGGAGUUGAGUCAGAGCUAUGGCUUCCGGACUCAGCUACAGGCACACUGGAUCUGAGCCACCUCUGCGACCUAUGCUGCAGCUUUCAUCAAGGCUGGAUCCUUAACUCACUGAAUGAUGCCAGGAUCAAACUCACAUGCUCACAAAGACACAUCCUCCUUAAGCUGCUGAGCCACAAUCAGAACUCCCUAGUGAAUUUUUAAAGAAGAUGAAGCACAGCAAAUGACAUUGGCCAAAGUGGGUCCUGCUCUGAUUUAUAGCAAAACAACAGAUCUGCAAAACUGCCGUUAAUCUUUGGUCUAGGUUUCCUAGAAGCAACCUAAAUUUGAAAAAACAAACAAACAAAAAAGAUCCCUUCCUGUAAGAGAAUUUAAAUCUUUCUUUUGCUGUCUUAAAAUAAUAAUAAUAAAUAAUAAUGAUAAAUAAUAACAAUUCUUAUGAUAAUAUCUGAGAGCCUAUAAAGUUUGAGUGAAAAUUUUGCCUUUUCUGAAUUACUUUACCUUUUUGUGUCUCAAUCCAUUCAUCUAUAAAAUGAGUAUAUCAUUGUAUUUACUUCAGAGAAUAGUAAAGAAUUCUUGAGUUAAUCUGUUUUAAUUACGUGGAGACUGGCAAGAGUAAAUACUACAUAAAUAGUAUCUGUUAUUAAUGACAGCAGAAUUUUCUACAAGCUUUCUACUUAAACAUUUUUCUAAUAUUUACUUACAUUUCCAAUAAAAUGGGCUUUGUAUAAGUCAAUAUUUAUGUCCUUAACUUUGAAUCUUCCAAUCUCCAGAUUUUGUUAGAAAUUUAAAUUAUGAAUUUACACUCUAUCUGAAAAAAUACGUGAUAACAGAAACCCAGUUAGCCUUAGUCUGGAAAGGAAAGUCAUUCAUCUAGGAAAAAUAGUAUUUUACUACAUUAGGAACUAAUUUACAUGCAGGAAAUAUUCAGUCCUUAGCAGUCUAAGUCAGAUGCUAUGUGUUGAGGGCAUGAUAAGGACUGGGUUUGUUUAAUAAUCUCUCUUGGCUUGCCAUGUAGAAAUCUCAUGAUAUCAAAUACAUAUCAUUAGCUGAGACCUGGAACCAAAACAUUCUCUCAAAAAAUAAUAAUAAAUUCUGUAAACUUGACUUACAGAUAUUUUGUCCCUCAUGCUAGGAAUUUUGCAAAGAAUAUUGAUGCCAUGGACAUAAAUAAUUUUUUAAAGGGUAGUAUGAUUCUUAAAUAUUGGUUUUUCUUUGAAAUGACAUCUAAUUUGGUAUAAAAGUAUCGUAGAUACAAAAUUAACAUAUAAUUAAUUAUACAGUUAUAGACAAAAUUGUAUAUAUAUGUAACUAUUCUUGGGAUAUCAGACUUUUAAUCUUCCUUAAAGAAAGAGAAUAUAUACCUCAUGACUAACAAAUCAUUGAUAUAAUUAAUUGAGUACAGUUAAAGAACUAUUAAUAUAUUUCAUUUCAACUGUAUUUUUCAAUAUCAGUAGUAUUAAUGAGUAUCUGUUUAGUCAAAGAAAUGUUCCUUUCUAAAAAAAUACAGAUGUGCUUUUGUUUGGAGAUCAAAAAAUACGUCUAAAUAUCAUGAAUUACUGACAUCAUAAAUUGUACUAUAAUUUUACUGAUGCUGAAUUUGGAAGGGACCUAGAGAACUAUGGGAGAUUAUUUAAAUUAUGCUUGAGUGUAUUCUAUGAAAAUUAAGUAUUAUAAACCUAUUAAAAUGAUCAUCAUGCCUUAGUUUGUCUUAUAACAUUUUUGUGCUAUACUCUAUGUCAGAAUUCAUAUAAAAGACAGAAUAACACUUGGAACUUUUUUCCUCUGAAACAUACUGUAUAUUUUGAGAAUAUAUAUUUAUCAAUUGACUCAAACAUGGAACAACAGAAGAUUCUUGUGAAUAUUUUCAUUGUCAUUAAAUGUCAUUUUGGGCCAAUGCAGAUUUUCCAAAAAUAUAUGAGGAUAAAUAACAAUUCUAGAGAGUAAAAGCAAUAAGUACAUGGAUUUAAAGGAAAAGCAGAAAUAGAGACAAAUAGGAUUACUUUAAAAUAAUUGCUUGUAAUUCAAAACAUGGUAACUAGUUCUUUCAGUCUUCUGAAAGCAGAGGUACACUGUGCUUUUCUUGUUCUUAUUUUUCUAGUCAUAUUCCUCAGUGGGAAGCUUGCAGACAUUCUUGUAUUAACCUCAUUAGUACUUUUUAUGUACCAUUUGCUGACUAGCAUGAUCUUGUGGUAGAAAAAAGCUGUCAAGAGCUAGGGACUUUCCCUUUGCACUCAAAGAAAUAUUUCCAAGAGAACCUCUGCUGAGCACAUCUAAGUUUCAGCAUUUGCUUGCCAAAUGCCAUCUGUUUUGAUGUAUAAAAUUCUCUAGAAACUGAGAGGAUGUAAUGAGGAAAUCCAAGUCUAAUUUGUCAUAAUCUCUUAAGGUAUUUUUGUUGAUCUGUCUUUAAAAACAAUAUGAUGAUCCUUGAAAAGAUCUAGGACAGAUUUUUUUUUUUAAAGACAGAAGAUACUACAACCUGUUUUUAUUCUGAUUGUGAACUAUUGAUGGUGAAUGAAAGAGUGAAUCAUUGCUGAGUCAAAGACACUGAUGAUAGCAUGGCAUGCAUGUUGGCUACUGCACUAAGGAGCAGUAGACUUUGAGAGGAAUAAAAACAGAAAUUAUGGGUACAGAUGUAGGUAGGCUAUUAGAUAAUAUAGGGGAAGAUUAUUAAAGUUCAAUUCUGCUAUCUUCAAUUUUCUCAGUUAAAUAAGAAGAAAGAUAAUCCUCAGAGAGAGAGAGAGUAUGUAUAUGUGUGGUAUGUUAGAGAAAGAAAAGUUAUGAAAAAACUGCCUGACAGAAGUUAAUAUAUAUUAAAGGUACCCUGGGAAAAGGUUGGGAAAGAAAACACAUAGUAUGUUACUGUAAUUUUUAUCUAUACUUUCAAAUUAAAAUACAAAUAAUUAAAUAUAUUUUGUUGGAUUUAAAAAUAAACAUUUCUAUUUGAUAACACAAAAGAAGUUUUUGAAAUAUAACUGGUAACACUUUAAGAUUAUACAUUUUAACAUAAAAUCUUUUUCAUUAUAUCUUUGAAAAAAUAGGCCUUAUUUUAUUGAAUUUUCAGUGUCUUAUCUAAAAACAUUUAAAACAAACUGUUCUUAUGGGCAAUAUGCCAAACAGUUUGCAAUUUGUUGACUCAUUCACAGGCAGCUGAAACUCUGAAUUCUAACUAUCCCCAGUGGUAGAAGUUUAAUCAUUUGGAUCACUGCUUACUCUGGAAACAAACUGAGCAGAAAUUGAAAUUAUCAUCCUCCCAAACCCAAGAAAUAUUCUCAGAGGCAUUGACCUAUUUUAGAUUUCCUGGGUAAACUGCACUAGACUUCAUCCUAAACUCAGACCAGGCUAUCAAAGCACAGUGAGGUCCAUGGUAUUUCACAAGUUUCACAAGACCUGCACUUUUUCUUCCAACAGAAAAAUAAAGGCCAUAGCAUGAUUACCCCCCCUACCCCAUUGGUUUAUUUAUUCUUCUCAACAGGUAGAAGCAUUUCAUUCAGUAUUUAUUGAACAUCUCCUGUGGGCACAAUAUCAGGAUACUGGUGAUAGUAAAUGAGCCAGAUUAUAUUGUUAGCAAGCAGAUGUUUGAGCAUUAUUUGUCACCUGUGACUAGUGGGGUGCUUGACUUAGCUGAUGUUUGAAAAUUCAGCAAAGCAGCUGGAAUCCUUUAUGUGAAUGUGUGUUUUUUUGCAAAGGAUGUUCGUAAAAACAUGGUUCACUGGAGAUUGGUUUCCUGGUAUAUAAAUUCAGAAAUUCAUAACCUCAAAUAUCAGAGCUCUGUUUUCAUCAAUAACAAUGAAGACAUCCAUAGAUGUUUAUGGGAAAUAUUUAUGUAUUCCUGUCUCCUUACCACCACUCCUUUUCUGAAAAUGAGUUUUACCCAAACCAAAGAUGAGCUUACAAAAUGAUAUCUGAGACAAAGCCAGGCUACCAUUUUAAAUAUCAAGUGCAUUUUUACAAAUUUCUUUUUACCCACACAAUGUGUUAUUAAAUUAUAGUCAAAAGAAUCCUAAAGAUACUGCCUUUCUAAACAUUGUAAAAAAGUAUUCAGCCUUAUAAAAAAAGAAGCCCCCUUAUGAGUCAAAUAAAUCCACUAAUUUCCCAUAAUUACCUAGAAAUAUUGACUUAGGAAAAUAACAGUGGUUGACCUAAAUCAUCCUUCUAAUUAUUUUGUAAAUCCCUAUUUUCAAUGAUGAAUCUUUCCCUGUCUCAUAUCACUCCCUUCCCACUCUCUUUCUCUCCUUUUUCUUUCCUCACUCUCUUUGAAAAAAAAGAAUUAAAGUAAAAAAUUAGAAUACAACUGAGAUAUUUAUCAGAUUAAUACUUACAUAAAAGCACACUUCUGAUCCACCCUCCACUCAAAUUUCCUCCAUCAAUCUCAGUAAAUUGCAGCUUAAUCCUUCAGGUUACUCAAGCACAUAAUUCUAAAAUUAUUUUUCUAUACUGAUAUCCUUAUUUCAUAACCUAUAUUCAAAUUAUUAGCAAAUUUCUCUGGCUCCGUCUUUCCAGUAUUUUCCGAGUCCAACCAUUCCUCACCAAGUAUACCAACAACAUUUUUGUGCAAGCUCUCAUUUGUCUCAUUGCUUGUAAUAACACCCAACCUAGACUCCUUUCUUUUAUCCUCAACCUCUCCUGUUCAUCAUAGGUUAGCCAAGGUAAUCACUGUAAAAUUCAGAUCAGAUCAGAUUAUCUCCCUUCUAUACUCUCCAACGUCUGGCUUUCUAUUUCACAAACUGGCCUAUCAGCUCUUCACAUUUGGUCCCUUGCUGUUUCUCUGACCUAAUAUCCUACCAGUCCUUUGCUUCUUGCUCUCUCUUAGUCAUGUGCCACCUUACUGCUCCUUGCUCAUGCCUCAUGAUGAGUCUGCUCAGUCUUCAGGGUGUAUGCACUUCCCUCUGGGUGGAAUAUCUUCUCUGUGGUAAUUCCCAGGCUACUGCCAUCCCUUCUUUCAUGUCUCUGCUCAAAUGUCACGUUGUUGAGACAAAUUUUCAUUUACUAGUCCAUAAAAAAAAUAGCGUUUUCCCUCCUUAGGCACAUCUUUUAUUAUCCUCCUCAAUCUGGAAUAUUUUUUCUCAUAAACCUUACUUGAAAAAAAUUUAUGUGUUUCUUGUUUCCUAUCAUGUACUCUAAGCCUUAUGAGAGCAUAUGUAUCCAGAGCCUCUAAAAGAAUGGUUUAAAUAGAAGAGCCACUUAAAAUUUUUUUAAUUAAAAACUUUAUUAUCUCUAAAUCACAAAUUGUUUAUGUACUUUUAUUUUUCAACAUGUCUCAAAAAACACAUUCAAAAUUAGAUUAUAUUUUUAAUAGUCUAAAACCAAGCCCACUUUAUAUAAUAAAUAAAUGUACUAUAUUUUGUAUCAGUUUAAAACAUUGAGCAUUACUUUCACAUCUUAUCUACUUAAUGGUGGGAAAACAACAAUAAAUAAAUAAUGAAUAAUCCCAGUUUCUUUGAGAGAUUUUGAUUAAAGAAACAGGUUCUCACUGCAAGGAUCUCAGUGUUUGCCGGUGAGCUAACGUGGAAAGAAAGAAUUAUGAUUGAUUCAGUUCUUAAGUCGCUCAUUUGGAAUAACAUAGGGAUUAACACAGAAGAUGAGAGAAAAUAAAUGCAACAGCUAUAAAUAGAAAUACUGCAAGAGAAUAUAUCACUGUGUUUUAUGCAAUUUCUAAAACUAAGAAACUUUGCUUCUAGACAAUGUAGAGGAAAAUAUUCUCAAACUCAUGGAAGCAUAAAUAUUCAAGGGCUAGGAAAUAACCUCAACACACUGAGUUCUCUCUUGUAAUUAUAAUCUAUUAAAAAUAAUUUGGUAACUCAUUCAUAAAGGAUCUGAGAGCCUGGACAUAUCACAACAGACUGUCCUUUCUCUUAGGCAAAUGACAUAAAGCAACUAUGAAAAAGAAAACCAAAAGCAGCAAAAGAAGAAAAACAAGUGAUAGGCAAAGGAAAGAAGAUUUUGGAAUAAAAUAAAAUAUAUUUACAUUUAUAAUUUUUAAAUGUUUUAAAUAUGUGACAUAAAAUAUUAAGUGCAUGCCAAAGAUUAUCAAUAUAUCAAUGAGGAAACUACAACUUAAAUAAGUUGUUAUAAAAGACAUUUUGAGGUUUUUAGUAUUUACAGGCAUUAAGAAAUUGUGGGAAUAAGGAAUUCAUGUUGUGGCUCAGUGAUAACAAACCUGAUUAGUAACCAUGAGGAUGUGCGUUCAAUCCCUGGCCUCUCUCAGUGGGUUAAAGAUUGGGUGUUGCUGUGAGCUGUGGUGUAGGUCGCAGACGCACCUCAGAUCCUGUGUUGCUGUGGCUGUGGUGUAGGGUGGCAGCUGCAGGUCCAAUUUGACCCCUAGCCUGGGAACUUCCACAUG
Molecule: long non-coding RNA, 6893 nt
Filed under: Sus scrofa (pig)
Lineage: Eukaryota; Metazoa; Chordata; Mammalia; Artiodactyla; Suidae
Description: lncRNA (ENSSSCG00000061731.1)
Source: RNAcentral